CCGGACUUGCUGGGGGGCGGGGGCGGGGGCGGGGCUGGCGGGAAGACCCGGGCCGCGAGGUGCUGUAGGCCUCAGCCCGGAGCUGCGGAGACCGCCGGCCUAGCCUCUGAGGGCUGAGGCACUUGUCAGGGCGGGACUGCUGGCCCGGCCCGGUUUGCCUGACUUCAGAGGAAAUGGAGCCUGGCUUCGUUUCUCCAGAAACCUCGAAAGAGGCCAGAGCAUCUGGCAGGAAGUCCCUUUUCCCCCCGAGGGAGAGUCUGGACCUUCUGCAGCCGGGUCCGCCCCCCGCCCCCACCAGGCUGGGCCAGAUGUGAUGUCCCCCCUAAAGUCCAGCUUUUCAUCCCGCCGUCCAUCACCCCGCCGGGGCCUCCCCUCGGUGAACUUCCCGGUCCCUUGCCCUCGCGCCUCAUUGCUGGCCCUCCUGAGCCGGUCCCCACACGCUGUCGGCGACGAGAUCCGUGGAGAUCCGCCUGCUGCCGAAGCGCUCUGCCGUCGGAUGUGGUCCAUACACGUAAACCUCUGCGCGGCCGAUGUCGGAUGUCUAGGGAAAAAGAAGGAGCAGGAAGAGGAGGAGAGUUGAAGAGAAGGAAGGAGAUAUUUUGUGGUUCUUGUGAUGAGGGAGAGGUUUGGAAGGACUCAAAAGUUCAGUUUUGGAGAUAUUAAAUUUAAGUUUGGAAACGUCUUUGAGAUGGGCAAGAGGGAUGUCUGGGAAGAAUAUGACUAAAAGAGGAGAGAUCUUGGUUAGAGAUAUAACUCUAUGAGACAUGUGUGCUUACGCACAGAAAUCGAAGGCAUAGACGUGGAUUCGUAAGAAAGCACAAGGCUCAGAGCACAGAGAGAUGAGACGUGGCGCAGGGGACUCUUCAGCGGCUCAGAGCUCUGACAACGAUGGGUGCACCUUUUGCAGAAAUAAGGAGAAUGAGUGUUGAGAAACUGCUCCAGCAAAUGUGCCAGCCUGAGUGGUCACCAAGAAGAAAACUCUAGUGAGUGCCGAGCAGGAGCUAAUUUAUGCAAUGAAGACGUGUAGAGGAAGCACAAGGUGUGCUUGUGCUUCUGCUCAAAGCAGAAAUGAGAGUCGGGCAAAAGCUGGAUACCUGCACAGACAUCCCCAGGAACCAGCAGGCAGAAGGUGUUUUGGUGGCCGCUGAGCUAAACCUUACCCAGAAAAGUGGGUUUGAGUAUUUUGUCAGUUUUUUUCUUUGCAUACCGUGAAGUUACUGAGUGCAGCAUGCACUGACUGUAUGGUGGGAAGUAUCAAUAUCUCCUCUUCACUUCGGAGGAGUGCCACAGGCUGACAGCAUAAGUGCCCAGGGAAGAUGAUGUUGACACCACAGGAGCACGCAGAACCAAGGAAGGACGCAAGAACUGAUUGUAUCAUCAGCUGAUAGACCAUUAAAAAGAAUUGCUAAUGAUGGAUCAUGGCAUGAUUUCUUUUUCUUUUUUUUUUUUAAUUAAUUUUUAUUGGAGUAUAGUUGCUUUACAAUGUUAUGUUAGUUUCUUGCUGAUCACUGCAUGAUUUCUGGCUUAUAACUCGAGUCCAAAAACUUUUGUGGCAUUGCUGUAAAAAAACCCUUCCUUUCUCUUGUACUUAACUAUGUGGAAGUUUCUCAGCACCAGCACCUAUAACAAUAAAAAAAGGAGCUGAUCUGAUGUUAAUGUAUCUUAUUCCAGUAGAGAGAGAAAUAAACUGAUUGGGAGAGAAAAACAACCUCAUUCACCUCAUUAAGA
This is a long non-coding RNA of Balaenoptera acutorostrata (minke whale), 1728 nucleotides long. RefSeq lists it as uncharacterized. Lineage: Eukaryota; Metazoa; Chordata; Mammalia; Artiodactyla; Balaenopteridae. The transcript has 3 exons. The record is from RefSeq and is a predicted model, not a curated record.